CCUACGGGAGGCUGCAGUAGGGAAUAUUGCGCAAUGGGGGAAACCCUGAAGCAGCAACGCCGCGUGGGGGAUGAAGGUUUUCGGAUUGUAAACUCCUUUUAGUAGAGAAGAUAAUGACGUUAUCUAACGAAUAAGCACCUGCUAACUCCUGGCCAGCAACCGCGGUAAUACGGAGGGUGCAAGCUUUAAUUGGAAUGACUGGGCGUAAAGAGCGCGGAGGCGGGAUAGCAAGUCAGAUGUGAAAUCCCAUGGCUUAACCAUAGAACUGCAUUUGAAACUGUGAUUCUGGAGUAUGGGAGAGGUAGGUGGAAUUCUUGGUGUAGGGGUAAAAUCCGUAGAGAUCAAGAGGAACA
This 353-nucleotide ribosomal RNA is filed under the name uncultured bacterium. RNAcentral describes it as "partial 16S ribosomal RNA". It matches the Rfam family "Bacterial small subunit ribosomal RNA", at positions 338 to 708 of the family's 1533-position model. The record is from RNAcentral.